This 581-nucleotide ribosomal RNA is filed under the name uncultured bacterium. RNAcentral's name for it is "bacterial SSU rRNA". It matches the Rfam family "Bacterial small subunit ribosomal RNA", at positions 338 to 916 of the family's 1533-position model. The record is from RNAcentral.
CCUACGGGAGGCAGCAGUGGGGAAUAUUGGACAAUGGGCGAAAGCCUGAUCCAGCAAUUCCGCGUGUGUGAAGAAGGCCUUCGGGUUGUAAAGCACUUUAGUGGGGGAAGAAACAGCUUGGCCACACCAAGCCUUGACGGUACCCCAAGAAUAAGCACCGGCUAACUCUGUGCCAGCAGCCGCGGUAAUACAGAGGGUGCAAGCGUUAAUCGGAUUUACUGGGCGUAAAGGGUGCGUAGGUGGCUAUUUAAGUCGGAUGUGAAAGCCCGGGGCUCAACCUCGGAAUUGCAUUCGAUACUGAGUGGCUAGAGUUCGGUAGAGGGCGGCGGAAUUUCCGGUGUAGCGGUGAAAUGCGUAGAUAUCGGAAGGAACAUCAAUGGCGAAGGCAGCCGCCUGGGCCUGGACUGACACUGAGGCACGAAAGCGUGGGUAGCAAACAGGAUUAGAUACCCUGGUAGUCCACGCCGUAAACGAUGAGAACUUGACGUUGGUUCGUUUUACGAAUCGGUGUCGCAGCUAACGCGAUAAGUUCUCCGCCUGGGGAGUACGGCCGCAAGGUUGAAACUUAAUGAAAUUGACGG